This 301-nucleotide ribosomal RNA is filed under the name uncultured bacterium. RNAcentral describes it as "partial 16S ribosomal RNA". It matches the Rfam family "Bacterial small subunit ribosomal RNA", at positions 509 to 807 of the family's 1533-position model. The record is from RNAcentral.
CAGUCGCCGCGGUAAUACAGAGGGUGCGAGCGUUAAUCGGAUUUACUGGGCGUAAAGCGUGCGUAGGCGGCUUCUUAAGUCGGAUGUGAAAUCCCUGAGCUUAACUUAGGAAUUGCAUUCGAUACUGGGAAGCUAGAGUAUGGGAGAGGAUGGUAGAAUUCCAGGUGUAGCGGUGAAAUGCGUAGAGAUCUGGAGGAAUACCGGUGGCGAAGGCGGCCCCCUGGACAAAGACUGACGCUCAGGUGCGAAAGCGUGGGGAGCAAACAGGAUUAGAUACCCCCGUAGUCCCUGUCUCUUAUAC